RNAcentral lists this long non-coding RNA (504 nucleotides) under Nicotiana benthamiana. RNAcentral describes it as "long non-coding RNA (NBEN_LNC035757)". Lineage: Eukaryota; Viridiplantae; Streptophyta; Magnoliopsida; Solanales; Solanaceae. The record is from RNAcentral.
AUAAUGGAAAAAAGAUACAAAGAAACAAGAUGGAGGUUUCGGAAAACUUGUUUUUUCCCUCCUUUUUCUUUUGUCCUUCAACUUGUAUUUAUGAGUAGAUUUUCCUUCUGUCCUUGGGUUACUGGGAGAGUGGAUAGGGGGCAGCAGCCAGUGGAUACAGUUUUAUUAAUUGUUAGAGAAUGUGGAUCAUUAAGUUGGACUUAAGGUUUCAGUUUAGAGGGUGUCUGGAUUGGCUUAAAAGCUAGUCAAACCAAAAAGCAUCGACUCAUUUUGGUAUUUGGCAAACAAAAAAAGUGCUUUUAAACCAAAACUUACGAAAACAAGCCAAAAGCUGUAAGUUGGAGAACUUAUGGCUUGUUUGCUUAAAAGAUAGAUGAGUUUGGCCUAAAUUGGCUCUGAUACCAAAGGGAAGGGAACGGAAUAACAGUGGGCUAAAGGAACAAUAUCAGUAGCAGUAAGUAAAGCAGGUAAGGAUCCCAAGCCAAUUUAAGCACUACAACACCG